AACACAUGCAAGUCGAACGGGAGAUGAGGAGCUUGCUCUUCAAAUCGAGUGGCGAACGGGUGAGUAACGCGUAGGUAACCUGCCUUGUAGCGGGGGAUAACUAUUGGAAACGAUAGCUAAUACCGCAUAACAAUGGAUGACACAUGUCAUUUAUUUGAAAGGGGCAAUUGCUCCACUACAAGAUGGACCUGCGUUGUAUUAGCCAGUAGGUGAGGUAACGGCUCACCUAGGCGACGAUACAUAGCCGACCUGAGAGGGUGAUCGGCCACACUGGGACUGAGACACGGCCCAGACUCCUACGGGAGGCAGCAGUAGGGAAUCUUCGGCAAUGGGGGCAACCCUGACCGAGCAACGCCGCGUGAGUGAAGAAGGUUUUCGGAUCGUAAAGCUCUGUUGUAAGAGAAGAACGAGUGUGAGAGUGGAAAGUUCACACUGUGACGGUAACUUACCAGAAAGGGACGGCUAACUACGUGCCAGCAGCCGCGGUAAUACGUAGGUCCCGAGCGUUAUCCGGAUUUAUUGGGCGUAAAGCGAGCGCAGGCGGUUAGAUAAGUCUGAAGUUAAAGGCUGUGGCUUAACCAUAGUACGCUUUGGAAACUGUUUAACUUGAGUGCAGAAGGGGAGAGUGGAAUUCCAUGUGUAGCGGUGAAAUGCGUAGAUAUAUGGAGGAACACCGGUGGCGAAAGCGGCUCUCUGGU
This 698-nucleotide ribosomal RNA is filed under the name uncultured Bacilli bacterium. RNAcentral describes it as "bacterial SSU rRNA". It matches the Rfam family "Bacterial small subunit ribosomal RNA", at positions 50 to 733 of the family's 1533-position model. The record is from RNAcentral. Lineage: Bacteria; Bacillati; Bacillota; Bacilli.